AGCUCAGACGGUAAAGCGUCUGCUUACGAUGCAGGAGACCCGGGUUCGAUCCCUGG
RNAcentral lists this transfer RNA (56 nucleotides) under Ovis aries (sheep). It matches the Rfam family "tRNA", at positions 9 to 63 of the family's 71-position model. From Rfam's summary of the family: Transfer RNA (tRNA) molecules are approximately 80 nucleotides in length. Their secondary structure includes four short double-helical elements and three loops (D, anti-codon, and T loops). Lineage: Eukaryota; Metazoa; Chordata; Mammalia; Artiodactyla; Bovidae. The record is from Rfam by way of RNAcentral.